UAUAGAGGGCUCAAGCGUUAAUCGGUGUCACUGGGCUUAAAGGGUGCGUAGGCGGACCUGUAAGUGUUUUGUGAAUCCUACGGCUCAACCGUGGAAUUGCUUGGCAUACUGCAGGUCUUGAGGUCGGUAGGGGCUGCCGGAACUCUAGGUGUAGCGGUGAAAUGCGUAGAUAUCUAGAGGAACGCCAAAGGUGAAGACAGGCAGCUGGGCCGAUUCUGACGCUGAGGCACGAAAGCGUGGGUAGCGAACGGG
Molecule: unclassified non-coding RNA, 252 nt
Filed under: uncultured Phycisphaeraceae bacterium
Lineage: Bacteria; Pseudomonadati; Planctomycetota; Phycisphaerae; Phycisphaerales; Phycisphaeraceae
Description: contains 16S-23S intergenic spacer region
Rfam family: Bacterial small subunit ribosomal RNA
Source: RNAcentral